GACGAACGCUGGCGGCGUGCUUAACACAUGCAAGUCGAACGAGAGCGUAGAGAAAGCUUGCUUUUUCUACAAUCUAGUGGCAAACGGGAGAGUAACGCGUAAACAACCUGCCCUACGGAUGGGGACAACAGCUGGAAACGGCUGCUAAUACCGAAUACGUUCCGAAAGUCGCAGGACUAUAGGAAGAAAGGAUGGCCUAUAUUUAUAAGCUAUCGCCGGUGGAGGGGUUUGCGUCUGCUUAGCUAGUUGGAGGGGUAUCGGCCCACCAAGGCGACGAUCAGGAGCAGGACUGAGAGGACGAGCGGCCAGAUUGAGACUGAGACACGGUCCAGUGUCAUACGGGAGGCAGCAGGAGGGAUUCUUCCGCAAGGGGUGAAAGCCAGACGAAGCAACGCGGAGUGAUUGAGGACGGCCGUCGGGUGGUAGAUCUCUGUUAUACGGGAGGAAUAAUCUUGUGGUUAAUACGCAGGAGAAGUGACGGUACUGUAAGAGAAAGCCACGGCUAACUACGUG
This 513-nucleotide ribosomal RNA is filed under the name uncultured bacterium. RNAcentral describes it as "partial 16S ribosomal RNA". It matches the Rfam family "Bacterial small subunit ribosomal RNA", at positions 28 to 507 of the family's 1533-position model. The record is from RNAcentral.